ACCAGCAUCGCGUAGUGGUUUGAGUGUUGGACUACAAAUCUGGAGACCAGGGUUCGAUUCCCAGCUCAGCCA
Molecule: non-coding RNA, 72 nt
Organism: Phrynosoma platyrhinos (Desert horned lizard)
Lineage: Eukaryota; Metazoa; Chordata; Lepidosauria; Squamata; Phrynosomatidae
Source: the annotation of a GenBank genome assembly